Unclassified non-coding RNA from Lonchura striata (white-rumped munia), 125 nucleotides. Lineage: Eukaryota; Metazoa; Chordata; Aves; Passeriformes; Estrildidae. The record is from Ensembl.
GAACUAAUUACGGAGAGGAUAUGUCUCAAUUUGUUCCGCAUUAGUGCCGCGCCGGGACGCAGGCACCGAGCACGGGAAAUUGAUGGGCCCGGGCCCGCCGGGACGGCGGCCCUGACCCCGCGUUC